CUUCGAAUAUAUCACAGCCUUCAAUAUGGUGGGCUAAUUGGGCUGUAACUUUCCUGUCCAUAAAAUUAUUAGUGCUAUCUGUAUCAAUCAAAAUAGUGACAGGUUGAUGCUUCAAAGUUCCUCCGAUUUUCAUAGUUUGUGGGUUAGUGUAGCCAGCCAAUGCAUGCACUGUAUGUGUGAUGGCUUCAAUAUCUUCAUCAGUUUUCAU
Molecule: long non-coding RNA, 208 nt
Filed under: Musa acuminata (dwarf banana)
Lineage: Eukaryota; Viridiplantae; Streptophyta; Magnoliopsida; Zingiberales; Musaceae
Description: long non-coding RNA (MACU_LNC010367)
Source: RNAcentral